Molecule: transfer-messenger RNA, 190 nt
Filed under: Rickettsia peacockii str. Rustic
Lineage: Bacteria; Pseudomonadati; Pseudomonadota; Alphaproteobacteria; Rickettsiales; Rickettsiaceae
Description: transfer-messenger RNA Ricke_peaco_Rustic
Rfam family: Alphaproteobacteria transfer-messenger RNA
About the family: Bacterial tmRNA, also known as 10Sa RNA or SsrA, is named for its dual tRNA and mRNA-like properties. Its role is to liberate the mRNA from a stalled ribosome.
Source: RNAcentral
GGGGGCGAAAUAGGAUCGACGUGCCUAAAAAAAGAUUGCUUUUACUCGGGAUGAUUCCGCCGAUGGCUUGUGCCAUAUGGGUCAAAACAAAGAAACGCAAACGAUAAUAAUCGUUCUGUAGGUCGUUUAGCUUUAGCAGCUUAAUCCUACGCGGCUGGAGGGUGUGCCGGGCAACAGAAAAACCCUCACU